UACAGAGGGUGCUAGCGUUGUUCGGAAUCAUUGGGCGUAAAGGGCGUGUAGGCGGUUUGUUAAGUCAUGUGUGAAAUCCCUCGGCUCAACCGGGGAACGACGCAUGAAACUGGCAAGCUAGAGUACCAAAGAGGGGGGUGGAAUUCCCGGUGUAGCGGUGAAAUGCGCAGAUAUCAGGAGGAACACCAAUGGCGAAGGCAGCUCACUGGGACGGUAUUGACGCUGAGACGCGAAAGCGUGGGGAGCAAACAGG
Molecule: ribosomal RNA, 253 nt
Filed under: uncultured bacterium
Lineage: Bacteria
Description: partial 16S ribosomal RNA
Rfam family: Bacterial small subunit ribosomal RNA
Source: RNAcentral